Molecule: small RNA, 244 nt
Filed under: Acetivibrio clariflavus
Lineage: Bacteria; Bacillati; Bacillota; Clostridia; Acetivibrionales; Acetivibrionaceae
Also listed under: 1 other name
Description: Clostridium clariflavum c-di-AMP sequence
Rfam family: c-di-AMP riboswitch aptamer (ydaO/yuaA leader)
About the family: This family represents a conserved RNA structure found upstream of the ydaO and yuaA genes in Bacillus subtilis and related genes in other bacteria. The ydaO/yuaA element is thought to act as a genetic "off" switch for the ydaO and yuaA genes in its native state.
Source: RNAcentral
UAUACCAGAAAGCCUAAUCCUUAUAAAAAAGGAACGGGGGAUUAAUUUAGGGGGUUAAACUGUUUUUUUGGGAUAAAACAGGAUAUUACUAAAAAUAACCGGAAAAUUUUCGUCAUUAUCUUUUUUAACGGCUAUAUGCAUCAGGUUAUUUUUUAAGCAAUCCGAUUGUUAUUCCAAAAACGUGGGGGAAAUCCGCUCUCUCCUAACCCGUCAACUAACCUCGUCGGCUUAGAGAGGAGAAUUA